CCUACGGGAGGCAGCAGUGGGGAAUAUUGCACAAUGGGCGCAAGCCUGAUGCAGCGACGCCGCGUGAGGGAUGACGGCCUUCGGGUUGUAAACCUCUUUCAGUAGGGAAGAAGCCGCAAGGUGACGGUACCUGCAGAAGAAGCGCCGGCUAACUACGUGCCAGCAGCCGCGGUAAUACGUAGGGCGCAAGCGUUAUCCGGAAUUAUUGGGCGUAAAGAGCUCGUAGGCGGUUUGUCGCGUCUGCCGUGAAAGUCCGGGGCUCAACUCCGGAUCUGCGGUGGGUACGGGCAGACUAGAGUGAUGUAGGGGAGACUGGAAUUCCUGGUGUAGCGGUGAAAUGCGCAGAUAUCAGGAGGAACACCGAUGGCGAAGGCAGGUCUCUGGGCAUUAACUGACGCUGAGGAGCGAAAGCAUGGGGAGCGAACAGGAUUAGAUACCCUGGUAGUCCAUGCCGUAAACGUUGGGCACUAGGUGUGGGGGACAUUCCACGUUUUCCGCGCCGUAGCUAACGCAUUAAGUGCCCCGCCUGGGGAGUACGGCCGCAAGGCUAAAACUCAAAGGAAUUGACGGCUGAGACGNGCGACGACGACGACGAGGGAGGAGG
This 604-nucleotide ribosomal RNA is filed under the name uncultured bacterium. RNAcentral describes it as "bacterial SSU rRNA". It matches the Rfam family "Bacterial small subunit ribosomal RNA", at positions 338 to 951 of the family's 1533-position model. The record is from RNAcentral.